This 120-nucleotide ribosomal RNA is filed under the name Erinaceus europaeus (western European hedgehog). Lineage: Eukaryota; Metazoa; Chordata; Mammalia; Eulipotyphla; Erinaceidae. The record is from RNAcentral.
GUCCAUGGCCACACCACGCUCAACAGGCCUGAUCUCAUCUGGUCUCAGAAGCUAGGCAGGGUGGGGCCUGCUUAGAACUUGGAAACUCUUUUCCUUUUCAUGCCUCUGGGAGUGUGAAUC